CAUACGCGUUCAGAGUUUGAUCCUGGCUCAGGAUGAACGCUGGCGGCGUGCAUAACACAUUCAAGUCGAACGGAGUUGUUUAGGUUAAUCCUUCGGGAAGCGCCCGGACAACUUAGUGGCGGACGGGUGAGUAACGCGUGAGCAACCUGCCUCUGUAUGUGGGAUAACGUCGGGAAACUGACGCUAAUACCGCAUGAAGCAUACUGACCGCAUGAUCGGUAUGCCAAAGAUUUAUUGUACAGAGAUGGGCUCGCGUCUGAUUAGGUAGUUGGUGAGGUAACGGCCCACCAAGCCGACGAUCAGUAGCCGGACUGAGAGGUUGAACGGCCACAUUGGAACUGAGAUACGGUCCAG
This 354-nucleotide ribosomal RNA is filed under the name uncultured bacterium. RNAcentral's name for it is "bacterial SSU rRNA". It matches the Rfam family "Bacterial small subunit ribosomal RNA", at positions 1 to 334 of the family's 1533-position model. The record is from RNAcentral.